RNAcentral lists this ribosomal RNA (515 nucleotides) under Enterococcus faecium. RNAcentral's name for it is "bacterial LSU rRNA". It matches the Rfam family "Bacterial large subunit ribosomal RNA", at positions 1466 to 1979 of the family's 2925-position model. The record is from RNAcentral. Lineage: Bacteria; Bacillati; Bacillota; Bacilli; Lactobacillales; Enterococcaceae.
GGGGGGACGCAGUAGGAUAGGCGAAGCGUGCUGUUGGAGUGCACGUCCAAGCAGUAAGGCUGAGUGUUAGGCAAAUCCGGCACUCAUAAAGCUGAGCUGUGAUGGGGAGAGGAAAUUGUUUCCUCGAGUCGUUGAUUUCACACUGCCGAGAAAAGCCUCUAGAUAGAUAACAGGUGCCCGUACCGCAAACCGACACAGGUAGUCAAGAUGAGAAUUCUAAGGUGAGCGAGCGAACUCUCGUUAAGGAACUCGGCAAAAUGACCCCGUAACUUCGGGAGAAGGGGUGCUCUUUAGGGUUCACGCCCAGAAGAGCCGCAGUGAAUAGGCCCAAGCGACUGUUUAUCAAAAACACAGGUCUCUGCUAAACCGUAAGGUGAUGUAUAGGGGCUGACGCCUGCCCGGUGCUGGAAGGUUAAGAGGAGUGGUUAGCUUCUGCGAAGCUACGAAUCGAAGCCCCAGUAAACGGCGGCCGUAACUAUAACGGUCCUAAGGUAGCGAAAUUCCUUGUCGGGUAA